AAGGUCGUAACAAGGUUUCCGUAGGUGAACCUGCGGAAGGAUCAUUAUUGAGAUAGUCAGAAGCCUAUUAGGUCACCCAAAGCGCUUGAAAUAUUAGCGGAAUGGGCAGUAAUACAAUCGCGAUGACCGUUUGAAUCCAAGGGCAGCUAUCCACCCGGUGUAUAUAUACUCUGUUGCUUUCCGGGCCGUCAUACCCCAGGAGAGAAACCCCUAACUCUUGAAUUUUAACUGGAACGUCUGAGUACUAUAUAAUAGUUAAAAU
Molecule: unclassified non-coding RNA, 262 nt
Filed under: plant metagenome
Description: partial contains small subunit ribosomal RNA and internal transcribed spacer 1
Rfam family: Eukaryotic small subunit ribosomal RNA (bases 1-47)
Source: RNAcentral